CGAUGGUUCAUUCAAAUUUCUGCCCUAUCAACUUUCGAUGGUAGAGUAGUGGUCUACCAUGGUUUCAACGGGUAACGGGGAAUUAGGGUUCUAUUCCGGAGAGGGAGCCUGAGAAACGGCUACCACAUCCAAGGAAGGCAGCAGGCGCGCAAAUUACCCAAUCCCGACACGGGGAGGUAGUGACAAUAAAUACUGAUACAGGGCUCUUUUGGGUCUUGUAAUUGGAAUGAGUACAAUUUAAAUCCCUUAACGAGGAACAAUUGGAGGGCAAGUCUGGUGCCAGCAGCCGCGGUAAUUCCAGCUCCAAUAGCGUAUAUUAAAGUUGUUGUGGUUAAAAAGCUCGUAGUUGAACCUUGGGCCUGGCUGGCCGGUCCGCCUCACCGCGUGUACUGGUCCGGCCGGGCCUUUCCCUCUGUGGAACCCCAUGCCCUUCACUGGGUGUGGCGGGGAAACAGGACUUUUACUUUGAAAAAAUUAGAGUGCUCCAGGCAGGCCUAUGCUCGAAUACAUUAGCAUGGAAUAAUAAAA
Molecule: ribosomal RNA, 528 nt
Filed under: uncultured fungus
Lineage: Eukaryota; Fungi
Description: SSU rRNA
Rfam family: Eukaryotic small subunit ribosomal RNA
Source: RNAcentral